This 1041-nucleotide ribosomal RNA is filed under the name Triticum aestivum (bread wheat). Its description in RNAcentral is "partial small subunit ribosomal RNA". Lineage: Eukaryota; Viridiplantae; Streptophyta; Magnoliopsida; Poales; Poaceae. The record is from RNAcentral.
AUGCUUUCGGGGUGCUCGGUGUCCAGUCUCGCGGCGAGGUUCGCCUUCUUCCCGCCGGACCCGCCCACCUACGCCCUCCGCAAGGACGAGGCCACGGGCCGCCUCGUCGCCUCGGGCGUCCCGCGGGACAACGCCUUGGAUGUGCUGCUCCUCGACACCACCAGGGGGACCAAGGUCGUCGCCUUCUACCUCAGGAACCCCUGCGCGCGCCUCACCCUGCUCUACUCCCACGGCAACGCCGCCGACCUCGGACAGCUCUACGAUCUCUUUGUGCAGCUCAAGGUCAAUCUCAAGGUCAAUCUGAUGGGAUAUGACUACUCGGGGUACGGAGCAUCUACUGGCAAGCCAAGUGAAGAGAAUACAUAUGCAGAUAUUGAAGCAGUUUACCAGUGCUUAGAAACCGAGUAUGGAAUCAGCCAGGAAGAGCUUAUCCUGUAUGGACAAUCUGUUGGGAGUGGGCCCACAUUGCAUUUAGCAUCUCGUUUACCAAGAUUGCGUGGUGUGGUUCUUCACAGUGCUAUACUGUCAGGCCUCCGUGUUGUUUGCCAUGUGAACUUUACUUUUUGCUUCGACAUUUACAAAAAUGUCAAAAAAAUAAAGAAGGUGAAAUGCCCAGUGCUUGUUAUUCAUGGGACCGAUGACGAUGUUGUGAAUUGGUCACAUGGUAAUGAGCUGUGGAAACUGGCAAGGGAGCCGUAUGAUCCACUAUGGAUCAAAGGAGGCGGUCAUUGCAACCUGGAGCUGUACCCUGACUUCAUCCGCCACCUCUCCAAGUUCAUCCGUGAAAUGGAGAGUGUGACAACGAAAACGAGGCUGAAGAAGAUUCGGCAGUCCCUUGAGCCGACAAAGACAGCAUAUCGAGUGAACACAGCAACGACCACCACCUUCACCGCCAACUGUUGCUGCCGUAUUCGAGUUCGCAAACCGAGCUGCAAUCUCAGCUGCAGCUGCUGCCACGCCCUGAGGAAAUGCUUCACAUUUGGUGCAUUCAAGUGCCCAGCCUGCUGCAGCUGCUUCAAGUGCUGCUGCUGUGGCCGAUAA